UGGGGAAUAUUGCACAAUGGGCGCAAGCCUGAUGCAGCCAUGCCGCGUGUAUGAAGAAGGCCUUCGUGUUGUAAAGUACUUUCAGCGGGGAGGAAGGGAGUAAAGUUAAUACCUUUGCUCAUUGACGUUACCCGCAGAAGAAGCACCGGCUAAUUCCGUGCCAGCAGCCGCGGUAAUACGGCGGGUGCAAUCGUUAAUCGGAAUUACUGGGCGUAAAGCGCACGCACGCGGUUUGUUAAGUCAGAUGUGAAAUCCCCGGGCUCAACCUGGGAACAGCAUCUGUUACUGACAAGCUUGAGUGGAGUAGAGAGGGGUAGAAUUCCAUAUGUAGCGUUGAAAUACGUAGUGAGGUGGAGGAAUAACGGUGGCGAAGGCAGCCCCCUGAACAAAGACUGACGCUCAGGUGCGAAAGCGUGGGGAGCAAACAGG
Molecule: ribosomal RNA, 429 nt
Filed under: Chloroflexota bacterium
Lineage: Bacteria; Bacillati; Chloroflexota
Description: Chloroflexi bacterium partial 16S ribosomal RNA
Rfam family: Bacterial small subunit ribosomal RNA
Source: RNAcentral